AUUGAACGCUGGCGGCAUGCCUUACACAUGCAAGUCGAACGGCAGCACGGGUGCUUGCACCUGGUGGCGAGUGGCGAACGGGUGAGUAAUACAUCGGAACAUGUCCUGUAGUGGGGGAUAGCCCGGCGAAAGCCGGAUUAAUACCGCAUACGAUCUACGGAUGAAAGCGGGGGACCUUCGGGCCUCGCGCUAUAGGGUUGGCCGAUGGCUGAUUAGCUAGUUGGUGGGGUAAAGGCCUACCAAGGCGACGAUCAGUAGCUGGUCCGAGAGGACGACCAGCCACCCCUGGACUGGGACACCGGCCAGACCCCUUCGGGAGGCCGCAGUGGGGAAUUUUUGGCAAUUGGGGGAAACCUUGUCCAGCAAUUGCGGGGUGUUUGAAAAAGCCCUCGGGUUUGAAAGCCCUUUUUUCCGGAAAAAAAACCUUGGCCCUUAAACCGUCCGGGGAUGACGGUACCGGAAGAAUAAGCACCGGCUAACUACGUG
This 486-nucleotide ribosomal RNA is filed under the name uncultured bacterium. RNAcentral describes it as "partial 16S ribosomal RNA". It matches the Rfam family "Bacterial small subunit ribosomal RNA", at positions 30 to 507 of the family's 1533-position model. The record is from RNAcentral.